UACGGAGGGUGCAAGCGUUGUCCGGAUUUAUUGGGUUUAAAGGGUGCGUAGGCGGCCUUUUAAGUCAGUGGUGAAAGCCAACAGCUCAACUGUUGAACUGCCAUUGAUACUGAAAGGCUUGAGUACAGACGAGGUAGGCGGAAUUGAAGAUGUAGCGGUGAAAUGCAUAGAUAUCCUCAAGAACACCGAUUGCGUAGGCAGCUUACUAGGCUGUAACUGACGCUGAGGCACGAAAGCGUGGGGAGCGAACAGG
RNAcentral lists this ribosomal RNA (253 nucleotides) under uncultured bacterium. RNAcentral describes it as "partial 16S ribosomal RNA". It matches the Rfam family "Bacterial small subunit ribosomal RNA", at positions 524 to 776 of the family's 1533-position model. The record is from RNAcentral.